GAUGAACGCUAGCGGCAGGCCUAAUACAUGCAAGUCGGACGGGAUUCAGGAGCUUGCUUCUGAUGAGAGUGGCGCACGGGUGCGUAACACGUAUGUAACCUACCUUUAUCAGGGGGAUAGCCUCUCGAAAGAGAGAUUAAGCCCGCAUAAAAUCACAGCACAGCAUUGUGUAAUGAUCAAAUAUUUAUAGGAUAAAGAUGGGCAUGCGGAACAUUAGCUAGAUGGCGGGGUAACGGCCCACCAUGGCGACGAUGUUUAGGGGAUCUGAGAGAAUGGCCCCCCACACUGGUACUGAGACACGGACCAGACUCCUACGGGAGGCAGCAGUAAGGAAUAGUGGUCAAUGGGCGGAAGCCUGAACCAGCCAUGCCGCGUGCAGGAAGACGGCCCUACGGGUUGUAAACUGCUUUUAGACGGGAAUAAACCCAGAUACGUGUAUCUGGCUGAAUGUACUGUAAGAAUAAGGGUCGGCUAACUCCGUG
This 482-nucleotide ribosomal RNA is filed under the name uncultured bacterium. RNAcentral's name for it is "partial 16S ribosomal RNA". It matches the Rfam family "Bacterial small subunit ribosomal RNA", at positions 28 to 507 of the family's 1533-position model. The record is from RNAcentral.